UACGUAGGGUGCGAGCGUUAAUCGGAAUUACUGGGCGUAAAGCGUGCGCAGGCGGUUUGUUGUGUCGGCGGUGAAAGCCCCGGGCUCAACCUGGGAAUGGCCGUUGAAACUGGCGAACUGGAGUGUGGCAGAGGGGGGUGGAAUUCCGCGUGUAGCAGUGAAAUGCGUAGAGAUGCGGAGGAACACCGAUGGCGAAGGCAGCCCCCUGGGCUGACACUGACGCUCAGGCGCGAAAGCGUGGGGAGCAAACAGG
RNAcentral lists this ribosomal RNA (253 nucleotides) under uncultured bacterium. RNAcentral's name for it is "partial 16S ribosomal RNA". It matches the Rfam family "Bacterial small subunit ribosomal RNA", at positions 524 to 776 of the family's 1533-position model. The record is from RNAcentral.